This 222-nucleotide ribosomal RNA is filed under the name uncultured bacterium. Its description in RNAcentral is "partial 16S ribosomal RNA". It matches the Rfam family "Bacterial small subunit ribosomal RNA", at positions 109 to 334 of the family's 1533-position model. The record is from RNAcentral.
AGUAAUGUAUGGGGAUCUGCCUGAUGGCGGGGGAUAACUACUGGAAACGGUAGCUAAUACCGCAUAAUGUCUGCGGACCAAAGCGGGGGACCUCCGGGCCUCGCGCCAUCAGAUGAACCCAUAUGGGAUUAGCUUGUAGGUAAGGUAACGGCUUACCUAGGCGACGAUCCCUAGCUGGUCUGAGAGGAUGAUCAGCCACACUGGAACUGAGACACGGUCCAG